GAUGAACGCUGGCGGCGUGCCUAAUACAUGCAAGUCGAGCGAAUGGAUUAAGAGCUUGCUCUUAUGAAGUUAGCGGCGGACGGGUGAGUAACACGUGAGCAAUCUGCCCUUGACUCUGGGAUAACUGCGGGAAACUGUAGCUAAUACCGGAUACUUUCACCGGAAGGCAUCUUUUGGUGAUGAAAGAAUAUCGGUCAGGGAUGAGCUCGCGGCCUAUCAGCUUGUUGGUGAGGUAAAGGCUCACCAAGGCGACGACGGGUAACCGGCCUGAGAGGGUGACCGGUCACACUGGGACUGAGACACGGCCCAGACUCCUACGGGAGGCAGCAGUGGGGAAUAUUGCACAAUGGGGGCAACCCUGAUCCAGCAAUGCCGCGUGAGUGAAGAAGGCCUUCGGGUUGUAAAGCUCUUUUGUCAGGGAAGAAACAGCAGCUCUAACACAGUCUGCGAAUGACGGUACCUGAAGAAUAAGCACCGGCUAAC
This 483-nucleotide ribosomal RNA is filed under the name uncultured bacterium. RNAcentral's name for it is "partial 16S ribosomal RNA". It matches the Rfam family "Bacterial small subunit ribosomal RNA", at positions 28 to 501 of the family's 1533-position model. The record is from RNAcentral.